RNAcentral lists this non-coding RNA (46 nucleotides) under Prorocentrum micans. Lineage: Eukaryota; Dinophyceae; Prorocentrales; Prorocentraceae. The record is from RNAcentral.
UUUUUUUUUUUUUUUUUUUUUUUUUUUGUGUUUUUCCUUCUUGCGA